RNAcentral lists this ribosomal RNA (497 nucleotides) under uncultured bacterium. RNAcentral describes it as "partial 16S ribosomal RNA". It matches the Rfam family "Bacterial small subunit ribosomal RNA", at positions 28 to 507 of the family's 1533-position model. The record is from RNAcentral.
GACGAACGCUGGCGGCGUGCCUAAUACAUGCAAGUUGAGCGCUGAAGGUUGGUACUUGUACCAACUGGAUGAGCAGCGAACGGGUGAGUAACGCGUGGUGAAUCUGCCUUUGAGCGGGGGACAACAUUUGGAAACGAAUGCUAAUACCGCAUAAAAACUUUAAACACAAGUUUUAAGUUUGAAAGAUGCAAUUGCAUCACUCAAAGAUGAUCCCGCGUUGUAUUAGCUAGUUGGUGAGGUAAAGGCUCACCAAGGCGAUGAUACAUAGCCGACCUGAGAGGGUGAUCGGCCACAUUGGGACUGAGACACGGCCCAAACUCCUACGGGAGGCAGCAGUAGGGAAUCUUCGGCAAUGGACGAAAGUCUGAACGAGCAACGCCGCGUGAGUGAAGAAGGUUGUCGGAUCGUAAAACUCUGUUGGUAGAGAAGAACGUUGGUGAGAGUGGAAAGCUCAUCAAGUGACGGUAACUACCCAGAAAGGGACGGCUAACUACGUG